UGGGGAAUAUUGGGCAAUGGGCGAAAGCCUGACCCAGCAACGCCGCGUGAGGGAAGAAGGCUUUCGGGUUGUAAACCUCUGUCGCAGGGGACGAAAGAAAUGACGGUACCCUGUGAGGAAGCCCCGGCUAACUACGUGCCAGCAGCCGCGGUAAUACGUAGGGGGCGAGCGUUGUCCGGAAUUACUGGGCGUAAAGGGUGCGUAGGCGGCGAAUUAAGUUGGAUGUGAAAUCCCCGGGCUUAACCUGGGUGGUGCAUCCAAAACUGAUUAGCUAGAGUGCAGGAGAGGGAAGCGGAAUUCCUAGUGUAGCGGUGAAAUGCGUAGAUAUUAGGAGGAACACCAGUGGCGAAGGCAGUUACCUAUGCCGAGACUGACGCUGAGGCGCGAAAGUAUGGGGAUC
RNAcentral lists this ribosomal RNA (400 nucleotides) under uncultured bacterium. RNAcentral describes it as "bacterial SSU rRNA". It matches the Rfam family "Bacterial small subunit ribosomal RNA", at positions 355 to 769 of the family's 1533-position model. The record is from RNAcentral.